GACGAACGCUGGCGGCGUGCUUAACACAUGCAAGUCGAACGGAAAGGCCCUGCUUUUGUGGGGUGCUCGAGAGGUGAACGGGUGAGUAAAACGUGAGUAACCUGCCCUUGACUUUGGGAUAACUUCAGGAAACUGGGGCUAAUACCGGAUAGGAGCUACUGCUGCAUGGUGGGGGUUGGAAAGUUUCGGCGGUUGGGGUUGGAGUCGCGGCUUAGCAGCUUGUUGGUGGGGUAGUGGCUUACAAAGGCUUUGACGGGUAGCCGCCCUGGGAGGGUGACCGGCCCCAUAGGAACUGGGGAGCGACCAGGACUCCAACGGGCGGCAGCGGUGGGAAAUUUUCGGCAAUGGGCGGAGGCCGGGUGCAGCAUCGCCGGGUCGGGAAUGACGGCUUUCGGGUUGUAACCGCUUUCGCCUGUGACGAAGCGUGAGUGACGGUAAUGGGUAAAGAAGCACCGGCUAACUACGUG
RNAcentral lists this ribosomal RNA (467 nucleotides) under uncultured bacterium. RNAcentral describes it as "partial 16S ribosomal RNA". It matches the Rfam family "Bacterial small subunit ribosomal RNA", at positions 28 to 507 of the family's 1533-position model. The record is from RNAcentral.